This is a non-coding RNA of Prunus mume (Japanese apricot), 1511 nucleotides long. The record is from RefSeq and is a predicted model, not a curated record. NCBI's taxonomy places the organism in Eukaryota, Viridiplantae, Streptophyta, Magnoliopsida, Rosales, Rosaceae.
AUGGCAAAGCUAGUUUGCCAUUCACAUCUUCUUCUGCUCAUCAUAGUUUUCCUCUCUCUCCAUCCUUCAAGCCAACUACAACAAUACACUCAGUCACAAACCCUUCUGAAGAUCCAGCAGCUUCUCAACUACCCAUCAGCCUUAACCAGCUUCAGCCAUAGAAGCAACAUCAGAGACUUCUGCAAAAUUGAACCAACUCCAUCUUUGACUCUAUCCUGUUAUGAAGGCAACAUAACCCAGCUGCACAUUAUUGGCAACAAUGGGUUUCCUCCACUGCCUCGUGAUUUCUCAGCAGACUAUUUCUUUGCCACUCUUGUUGGCUUACCAAGCUUGAAAGUGCUUUCACUGGUUUCUCUUGGUUUAUGGGGGCCAAUGCCUGCAAGUAUUGGGCAUUUGUCUUCACUGGAGAUUCUCAAUGUAAGCACAAAUUACUUAAGUGGUACAGUUCCUCUCCAACUUUCAUAUCUGAGGAACCUUCAGACUCUCAUACUUGACCAUAACAAGUUCACUGGUCAAGUUCCAGGUUGGCUGAGUUCACUUCCAGUCUUGGCUGUUCUCAGUCUGAAAAACAAUAUGCUUAAUGGCUCUUUGCCAUAUUCUUUGGCAUCUUUACAAACUCUCAGAGUUCUCUGCCUAUCAAGUAACUUCUUGUCAGGGGAAGUGCCUGAUCUCAGAAACUUGACAAACUUGCAAGUUCUUGAUUUGGAAGACAACUAUUUUGGGCCUCAUUUUCCAAGUAUGCUUUCCAAGUUGGUCACACUUGUGCUAAGAAAGAACAAGUUUCGCUUGGGAAUCCAGACUGCAUUAGGCUCCUGCUAUCAGCUCCAGAAGCUGGACAUUUCAUUGAAUGGAUUUGUAGGGCCAUUUUUGUCAUCAUGGUUGUCACUGCCUUCCAUUAAAUAUCUUGACAUUGCUGGAAAUAAACUCACUGGACUUCUCUAUAAGAACAUGACUUGCAAUUCUGAGCUUGCUUUUGUCAAUUUAUCCUCAAAUCUUUUGUCAGGGGAUUUGCCCACUUGUCUGAAAAGGGAUUCUAACAGCAGGGUUGUUCUGUAUUCUGGGAAUUGUUUAGUAAAUGAAGAUCAGAAGCAGCACCCUUCUUACUUGUGCCACAAUGAAGCUCUGGCUGUGCGAAUACCACCUCCUAGUGAGGAAAAGCAUAGGAGAACUUAUGGUAAACACGUUGUUGCAUCAAGUGCAGUGGGAGGUAUUGUGGGUGCAAUUGCAGUUGUUGGUUUAGCUUUCAUGGCUGCUAAGAAGUUUUAUAGUGAGCACACUACUAAAACUCCCCAAACAAGGUAAUUUCAGAUACAGUCUCAGCAGUGAACACAGCUAAGCUACUCUCUGAUGCAAAAUAUAUAUCAGACACAAUGAAGCUGGGAGCUAGCCUUCCUGCUUAUAGAACUUUUGCUUUGGAGGAGCUUCAGGAAGCCACCCAUAACUUUGAUGAUUCAACAUUACUAGGUGAAGGUUCACAUGGACAGAUAGCUGCAUUUGGCACUAUGAACUGA